This is a long non-coding RNA of Paramacrobiotus metropolitanus, 864 nucleotides long. RefSeq lists it as uncharacterized. The record is from RefSeq and is a predicted model, not a curated record. The transcript has 4 exons. NCBI's taxonomy places the organism in Eukaryota, Metazoa, Tardigrada, Eutardigrada, Parachela, Macrobiotidae.
GUUUUUAGGCGCUGCAUUAUAAAUUUCUCGGAACCACGCCGGUCGAUGCUCCUGCACGCCAUCAAGAAGUGCUUCCACUUGCUCUUCAUCCGAUGUUUUUAGUUCCUCAAACCAUGGGAGGAAACUAUCCAGAAUUUUUCAAACCAUUGAAAGGACGGACCGGUGAAUGCACCGAUUACUCUGCGACACGUUGUCUCAUCAUUCCAGUUAUUCGUGGCUCUACAUUGUUCAACAUUCAUGAGCCACCUUUGAAUUUUUUCCGGCCAUUCCUCCAGCUGAGGAUUUCUGGACAAAGAUUCAUUACUCGCCGUGCUACUAGGGCGACGGUGUUCAUCCUCCAUUAGGGCAUCAUCCAUUAGUUCAUUUUCUGUAUCGGAACUAUCCCUAUUUUCUGUUCCUCGCAUCUGGCGACCAGAUUCGUCAGCUGUUCUUUUCAGAAUUUGUUGGCGUAAGUCUGUUGAGCCAUUUUUCCUCUGUUUGGCAGGUGCCGUUUCCCUUGGAAUUUGACUUUCUGAGGCUGAACGCGGCAUGGCCUGAGCCUCCGAGAAUUCGACUCGUGAUUCCUGUCUAGGCCUGCGCAAGAUGCCAGCUGGAUUACUACCAGUAGCUAAAGGCUGAUCCACGUAUGACGAAAAAUUUUGGGGAUUAAAUGGUGUAAAGGGGGAAGGACGUAAUACAUCUCCUGUCGCUACCGGCGCUUCCCUUUGAAAGUAUCCUUCACCGCCACCAAGAGCAGCAUCUGUAUUUCGAAGCCGACGAAGUUCGUCAUAUGCUUGCUUUAGAUCCACUUCCAUCUUGUCAACAGACCCUGCAACCUCUCAAUUUCCUUUUGGGACGCAUCAUCCUUUUCCUUGGGAAUAUGCA